GAUAAAUGAUGUCUUCCUGGA
This 21-nucleotide non-coding RNA is filed under the name Rattus norvegicus (Norway rat). The record is from RNAcentral. Lineage: Eukaryota; Metazoa; Chordata; Mammalia; Rodentia; Muridae.